CCUACGGGAGGCAGCAGUGAGGAAUAUUGGUCAAUGGGCGGGAGCCUGAACCAGCCAAGUCGCGUGAGGGACGACGGUCCUAUGGAUUGUAAACCUCUUUUGUCGGGGAACAAAGGCGCCCACGGGUGGGCGGAUGAGUGUACCCGAAGAAAAAGCAUCGGCUAACUCCGUGCCAGCAGCCGCGGUAAUACGGAGGAUGCGAGCGUUAUCCGGAUUUAUUGGGUUUAAAGGGUGCGUAGGCGGACAGUCAAGUCAGCGGUAAAAAUGCGGUGCUCAACGCCGUACAGCCGUUGAAACUGGAGGCCUUGAGUGCACACAGGGAUGCCGGAAUUCAUGGUGUAGCGGUGAAAUGCUUAGAUAUCAUGAAGAGCUCCGAGCGCGAAGGCAAGUGUCCGGGGUGCAACUGACGCUGAGGCUCGAAAGUGCGGGUAUCAAACAGGAUUAGAUACCCCUGUAGUC
This 459-nucleotide ribosomal RNA is filed under the name uncultured bacterium. RNAcentral describes it as "partial 16S ribosomal RNA". It matches the Rfam family "Bacterial small subunit ribosomal RNA", at positions 338 to 795 of the family's 1533-position model. The record is from RNAcentral.